This 397-nucleotide ribosomal RNA is filed under the name uncultured bacterium. RNAcentral's name for it is "bacterial SSU rRNA". It matches the Rfam family "Bacterial small subunit ribosomal RNA", at positions 362 to 776 of the family's 1533-position model. The record is from RNAcentral.
UAUUGCACAAUGGGGGAAACCCUGAUGCAGCGACGCCGCGUGAGUGAGGAAGUAUUUCGGUAUGUAAAGCUCUAUCAUCAGGGAAGAANNUGACGGUACCUGACUAAGAAGCCACGGCUAACUACGUGCCAGCCGCCGCGGUAAUACGUAGGGGGCAAGCGUUAUCCGGAUUUACUGGGUGUAAAGGGAGCGUAGACGGCUGUGCAAGUCUGAAGUGAAAGCCCGUGGCUCAACCGCGGAACUGCUUUGGAAACUGUAUAGCUUGAGUACUGGAGAGGCAGGCGGAAUUCCUAGUGUAGCGGUGAAAUGCGUAGAUAUUAGGAGGAACACCGGUGGCGAAGGCGGCCUGCUGGACAGAAACUGACGUUGAGGCUCGAAAGCGUGGGGAGCAAACAGG